ACAUUAUUUUGUCAGCUGUCUUAGAAUGUUUGUUCAUAAACACACUUUUGUGUGAACAGUUGAAUAUUCGGCAAAACCCUUAGAACAACCUUUUUUGCUUCAAAUGCUUCCCUUUACAGAACCGUUCAAGUAAUUUAUGUAUAGUAUAUAAGGAUCGUUAUAAAUGUACUUUAAAAGACUAUAAGUUUACUCUGCAAGAACAAAUUAAUGCAUUAGAUAGAGCAGUCACGUAUUUUCAGAAUUUACCAGAGAGGUUCGCGCAGAAGAAUCACAAACAAAAUUUAAUCGUGAAAUUUCUUGUGUAGAAAGACACAUUGCGAAGAGGGUGAAUGAAUCAUAAAUCUAUGAACAAUCAAGAUAUAACGGGGGUUUUGAUGCCGAAAUGCAAUUUUCAAAACCGUGGUAUGUAACGGAAUCAAUCAAAGAGAAAUCACUCAUAUUAAAAUGGACUUUCCUUAUGAAAAACCAAAAGCAACCAGCCGGCUAGCCUGCUUGCAGGCGUUUACCCGGUGUUUUUUUCGCAUUCGCUAUGCGCUAAGUCGUGGUCGCCAUCUUGUUUUUGGCUGCGCUAGCUUGUCGCGAGUGACAAAACGUGACGAAGGGGGUGGCUCGUUCCAGCUUUCGCGCGGCCAGAACAAAACAAGAUGGCUUCGUUAGCAAAAAACGGACAAAAAAAUGCACUAGUGUACUAAUUGAUUUCUACUUUUUAUAUUAUUUGGUAAAUCGUUUAGAAAAGUUCUAUUAGGUACAUUUUUGUGAACGCACACAACAGAUAGACUGAGCUAUGGCGUAUUAGAAAACACCUCCCCCGCCGGAACCUCAUUAUUAUACUUCCCACAGGCAAGCUGCGUUUAAAAAAAGGGAAGCCCAGGAGUAAACAACCAAAGUUAACUGUCAUGUAAUUUCUUCCUGCGGUAUUCUAUGACGCCCGCAAUAAACGCCUAUUCGCACACGUACCCGUACAGGUUCUGCUGCUCCUACACAUCCAGCGAUAUAAGAGAGCUCUGCGACGGGAAAAUAGGGACAGCGGCAUCGCACACAUUUUAGGGGAAUCGGGCAAAUUUGGGAUAUAAUGUAAACCACACGAGGAGUAAUUCGAAUAUAUUGAAUUCUACAAAUUUCCGGGAUAAUGCGCUCACUCCCAUGUAAUUUCACAACAUGUUCUUUUAAUUUCUUGGUAUUCGAGGCUUUAACAAAAACACUUAUUGACAAUUUCUAUUGCAUUUUGUAGACCUAACAAACGCUAAAUUUACCAUUGCUUCUAAGAAUAAUUUGAACAGACUCUAUUAUGAAACUUACCAGCGCAUUUGCUAAUCAAGUUAUUGAAGACUUCCACAGAAAAGACGGUCCACUAAACACUUGAGAAAGCAAUCUUUAAGCUCUAGAGAGUCCUCUGCCAAAAAUCCUAUAAAUAUCCAAUAGAUCCCAACUUGACAAGUGAUAUCAGGGGUCCUUGUGGAAAUCAAUUUCAUCAGAAAAUCUUAAAGAACAUGCGCUCGAGGUUAGUCGAUGGCCGACUGUCAGUAACUGUCAGAAGGCCGAAAAAAAUACAAAAUGUGAUAAUAUGUAUUUUUUUAAAUUCUCUGGUUUUUAAAAGUAAACGGGCACCUUCGAUAUGUUUCCUUUGUAUGGGGAUUGUAAAAUGUGUACCUUUAAAAAGUAUAAACUUUAAAUUAAACUCGAAAUACGACGUUUUCACUGCAGUGAACGAUGACAAAUGCCAGUUCUAAAACUUUUUGCUUCAUUAUAGAAUGAUAUAAGUUAUUAUAGCCCCUCAAAUAAGUAGCGUCUUAUUUUUGGGUAGUAAAAUUGAGACCAAUUUUUUGGGUAGUAAAAUUGAGACCCAUUUUUGGGUACUAAAUUGAGACCAUUUUUUAGUAGAAGAAUUGGAUCCAUUUUGUGGUAAUAAAAUUGAGACCAAUUUUUGGGUAGUAAAAUUGAGACCCAUUUUUGGGUAUUAAAAUUGAGACCCAUUUUUGGGUAGUAAAACUGAAACCCAUUUUGUGGUUGUAGAAUUGAGACCCAUUUUUCUGGCGAUAGAAUUGAGACCCAUUUUGGUAGUAGAAUUGAGACCCAUUUUUAGGUAGUAAAAUUGAGACCCAUUUUGUGGCAGUAGAAUUGAGACCCAUUUUGUUGUAGAACUGAGACCGUUUUGUGGUUGUAGAAUUGAGACCCAUUUUUUUGGCGAUAGAAUUGAGACCCAUUUUGUGGCGAUAGAUUUUGAGACCCAUUUUGUGGUAGUAGAACGGAGACCCGUUUUUUGGUAGUAGAAUUGAGACCCAUUUUUUUGGUAGUAGAAUUGCUGUUUGACCAUUGGCUGAAUAUUGUUUGGAUAGGGAUAGUGUCGCAUCCUGAUCUGGCGUCUUCUAGAAGUGAAAAAAGAAGAAGAAAAAAAUAAGUCUUCUAGACGUAAAAAGAUCAUAACAUCCAAAACGUAACGGAUAACAGCGGAUUUCUUGACGUCACCAAUAACAAAAAUUUCCUCACCGGGGUCAAGUAGAUGAUUCCGAAAGAUCAAAUUAAAAUUGGCAUGCUCUAACCGAUGACACGAGUCGUCCCCAUACGAGGAGCUUCUACAUGUAAUUACAAAUAAGAGCAAUGACCAAAAAUAGCCUUAUUCUUGCCGCGAGCACAGGUAGAUAAGAAAAGUUAUAAAAAUUGAAGGCGGGGUUGUAGGUUGUAUCCGGCACGUUGAAAUAGAACAAAGCUCAGCAGUGAGUACCCUCUCCUGCACCGAGCUUUUUGUGUCGCUCGUUUACUUUGUUCCUAAACGGGCGACACAGAAAGAUCAUCGCAGGAGGGUACGCAGCUACCAUUGUCGAUUGACGCUUAAUAAAACGAGUUGUCAAGCGAGCUCACGUACUUCUAGUCCGCAUUUGUAUUUCUUUAUUCUCCCUUACCUCAUUAAGAGUUAAGUAUUAGUGGAUCUUAAUAGAUACUCUAGUCUGUGGGGACAUAUUUAUACAUGUUGUUUUUAAGAACCUCUUAUGCUUAGAAGUGUUCUUCUUUAAUUAUCAUGUCAAUAAUACUUUGAAACUGCAGUCCUUUUCGAAUCGUUAUUUGUAAAUACCUAAAUGCGAACCUAAGUAUACGAAAAACACAUCAGAAAAAAGGCCAUAAAUAAAUGAAUGUUAUUUUAAAAUGAAUUCCUUUAAUUAAAUACUGAAUUAAGGCGGUCUAUUAAUUGCUUUUAAUGAUUAAAUUGUGAAUUUGCUUUUUUAAAUUGAAAAACCACAAGCGAUUAUAAAAUAGGCGCCACAAAAAGGUAGAAAUGCAAUCAAUAGUUAGAAACAGAAUUUGAAUGCGAUGCAAUGUCCAUGAUAUUCUCGAACAGCUAAAUGGUUGGUAGCAUGCUGAGUUCGGCAGCUUUUGGUUCUAUGAUGUGUUGUUAAAUGAGUGUCUUAUUAAUUAGCGCGUUCAUAUCCCCAGGAAACCAAUAAACAUUUAACGAGAAUAGAUGGUGAUGCACUCGCCUGAAAGGAUAUGAACACUCUCAACGCUGUAUACAUAUCCGCCGAUCUUCACCUAUAAAACAUACGUUUCUUCUCCACUGCUCGCACACAUUUGUAACUUGCUACCCAAAGAAAUUGUAAUUUCACAAUGGCAUGCAAAAGUCUGGUAGUGACUUCUUUUGUUCUUUGUGUUGCGUUUGUACUCGAGACAAACGCUAUAUCGGCUGGUAUCAAGAUAAACGUGCCCCGUCCGAAAGGGAAGAAAUCUCUGGAUGUCGUGCACUACGCAGGUUAUACAGUAGAUCAAAGGCGAGCUGCAUCGAGCAGACAAACAACACAAGCGAUUGACGGUGAUGAUUUCUGUCGACGUUCCUACGACUUUUGCUUGACAAGUUUGCAAGAGGGGAGAAGAUGAAUAAAAACCAGGAACGAUUCUAGUGAAUGAUAGCACCGAGUACUGAAACAGGGUAGUAGGACUUGAACGAUUCAUACGAUUUUAUAUAUCUUGGUUGUAAAUGUCUCAAACUGCUGCGAUAGACUCGAUUCUUGUAAAACUAAUGUUGUUAAUCACCAAGUGAAAACAUUGUGAAUGUCUUAAAAAAAGUGUUUUUCUGCGUCAAGAUAUCGUGACACGAUAGUCAUCAAUAGGCCAUAAAAUUGUUCUUCAACAAAACGGAAGCGAAAUAUUUCAAAAUUUAACUCACACCAAUUUUUCUGUAGUUCAAAUUUCGUGAUCAACAACAGGACAAACUUCCUGACUUAUUUGAUUAUAAAUGCGUAUAAAAGUUUGUCAGCAAAAAUAAAGUAUGUUUAUUUUCGGAA
Molecule: long non-coding RNA, 4274 nt
Organism: Nematostella vectensis (starlet sea anemone)
Lineage: Eukaryota; Metazoa; Cnidaria; Anthozoa; Actiniaria; Edwardsiidae
Exons: 2
Source: RefSeq, a predicted model, not a curated record